Molecule: long non-coding RNA, 483 nt
Organism: Apus apus (common swift)
Lineage: Eukaryota; Metazoa; Chordata; Aves; Apodiformes; Apodidae
Exons: 3
Source: RefSeq, a predicted model, not a curated record
GGAGGUUCUUCAAACAGCCUAUCUUGAGGUGCAAAGCUCCUUUUCACAGGACAGUGCUAAGAAUGUGUGUGGGCAAGAACAUGUUAAGGGAGAAAAGAAAAAGAAAAGUAAUCCCUUUGAACAAAGCUUUCUGAAGUAGCAUUCCAAGUAUGAAGAGAUGGAGAAGAAAACACUUGAGCCUUGACUGUAUGAUACUGGUUUCACCAAACUGCAUGCAGAAGUGAUCCUGCUGGGAUCAUCACUGGGAUUCAGACUGAAGGGAGAGAGACAGACCUUUUGAAUGUACUGCUAAGGAAAAGAUACUGUAUCAAAUGGUUGUCCAAAUCUCUGUAGCUUCCUCUCUAUUGUGUUUGUGUCACCUCAGACUGAAGUUUUAGCUUUGAAUAGUUUAUUCACUUCAACAGCUAUUCAGCUUAUGGAAUACCUGGGGAAACCAUGAGACAGAAGGGGUCAAGUUAUUUCCAGAGAGUAAUAAUGGGUAUG